AGUGAACGCUGGCGGUAGGCCUAACACAUGCAAGUCGAACGGCAGCACAGUAAGAGCUUGCUCUUACGGGUGGCGAGUGGCGGACGGGUGAGGCAUACAUCGGAAUCUUCUUUUUCGUGGGGGAUAACGUGGGGCAACUUAUGCUAAUACCGCAUACGUCCUACGGGUGAAAGCAGUGGAUCUUCGCACCUUGCGCGACUGAAUGAGCCGAUGUCGUAUUAGCUAGUUGGCGGGGUAACGGCCCACCAAGGCGACGAUCCGUAGCUGGUCUGAGAGGAUGAUCAGCCACACUGGAACUGAGACACGGUCCAGACUCCUACGGGAGGCAGCAGUGGGGAAUAUUGGACAAUGGGCGAAAGCCUGAUCCAGCCAUACCGCGUGGGUGAAGAAGGCCUUCGGGUUGUAAAGCCCUUUUGUUAGGAAAGAAAAGAAGCAGGUUAAUACCCCGCUGUUCUGACGGUACCCAAAGAAUAAGCACCGGCUAACUUCGUG
This 492-nucleotide ribosomal RNA is filed under the name uncultured bacterium. RNAcentral's name for it is "partial 16S ribosomal RNA". It matches the Rfam family "Bacterial small subunit ribosomal RNA", at positions 29 to 507 of the family's 1533-position model. The record is from RNAcentral.